RNAcentral lists this ribosomal RNA (461 nucleotides) under uncultured bacterium. RNAcentral's name for it is "bacterial SSU rRNA". It matches the Rfam family "Bacterial small subunit ribosomal RNA", at positions 27 to 518 of the family's 1533-position model. The record is from RNAcentral.
GAACGAACGCUGGCGGCAGGUCUUAGGCAUGCAAGUCGAACGGAUGAUAAGAGAGCUUGCUCUCUAAAGUCAGUGGCGCACGAGUGAGUAACGCGUGGGAAACUGCCCUUCACUGGGGAAUAACGUUUGGAAACGAACGCUAAUACCGCAUACGCCCGCAAGGAGAAAGAUUUAUCGGUGAUGGAUGUGCCCGCGUUGGAUUAGCCAGUUGGUGGGGUAAUGGCCUACCAAAGCAAUGAUCCAUAGCUGGUCUGAGAGGACGAUCAGCCACGCUGGAACUGAGACACGGUCCAGACUCCUACGGGAGGCAGCAGCUAAGAAUAUUGGGCAAUGGAGGAAACUCUGACCCAGCCCAUGCCGCGUGAAUGAAGAAGACCUUCGGGUUGUAAAGUUCUUUUAGUCAUGAAGAUGAUGACAGUAGUGACAGAAAAAGCACCGGCUAACUUCGUGCCAGCCGCGGC